UUUCCGUAGGUGAACCUGCGGAAGGAUCAUUAAUGAGUUGUCAUGGGGUUCGAUGCUGGCAGCCAGUUUUUGGAUGCAUGUGCUUGCCCUAACAAUCAUCUUCUUCCAAACACCUGUGCACAUUUUUGAGGGAGUCUUGAGUUGGUUGCCGCUCUUGGGUGAUUUUCUCACAUUCCCUUAAAUCAUUAUACGCUAUUAACAAUGUUGAACGUGCUCUGUGCCGCAAGGCCAUUAAUGUAAUACAACUUUUAACAACGGAUCUCUUGGCUCUC
Molecule: unclassified non-coding RNA, 272 nt
Filed under: plant metagenome
Description: partial contains small subunit ribosomal RNA, internal transcribed spacer 1, and 5.8S ribosomal RNA
Source: RNAcentral